CGAACGGGUGAGUAAUACAUAAGUAACCUGCCCUAGACAGGGGGAUAACUAUUGGAAACGAUAGCUAAGACCGCAUAGGUACGGACACUGCAUGGUGACCGUAUUAAAAGUGCCUCAAAGCACUGGUAGAGGAUGGACUUAUGGCGCAUUAGCUGGUUGGCGGGGUAACGGCCCACCAAGACUACGAUGGAUAGGGGUUCUGAGAGGAAGGUCCCCCACAUUGGAACUGAGACACGGUCCAGACUCCUACGGGAGGCAGCAUG
RNAcentral lists this ribosomal RNA (263 nucleotides) under uncultured bacterium. RNAcentral describes it as "partial 16S ribosomal RNA". It matches the Rfam family "Bacterial small subunit ribosomal RNA", at positions 99 to 353 of the family's 1533-position model. The record is from RNAcentral.